RNAcentral lists this ribosomal RNA (501 nucleotides) under uncultured bacterium. RNAcentral's name for it is "partial 16S ribosomal RNA". It matches the Rfam family "Bacterial small subunit ribosomal RNA", at positions 30 to 523 of the family's 1533-position model. The record is from RNAcentral.
AUUGAACGCUGGCGGCAGGCUUAACACAUGCAAGUCGAGCGGGGGAAGGUAGCUUGCUACCGGACCUAGCGGCGGACGGGUGAGUAAUGCUUAGGAAUCUGCCUAUUAGUGGGGGACAACAUCUCGAAAGGGAUGCUAAUACCGCAUACGUCCUACGGGAGAAAGCAGGGGAUCUUCGGACCUUGCGCUAAUAGAUGAGCCUAAGUCAGAUUAGCUAGUUGGUGGGGUAAAGGCCUACAAAGGCGACGAUCUGGAGCGGGUCUGAGAGGAUGAUCCGCCACACUGGGACUGAGACACGGCCCAGACUCCUACGGGAGGCAGCAGUGGGGAAUAUUGGACAAUGGGGGGAACCCUGAUCCAGCCAUGCCGCGUGUGUGAAGAAGGCCUUAUGGUUGUAAAGCACUUUAAGCGAGGAGGAGGCUACUUUAGUUAAUACCUAGAGAUAGUGGGCGUUACUCGCAGAAUAAGCACCGGCUAACUCUGUGCCAGCCGCCGCGGUAA